GUGCCAGCAGCCGCGGUAAUACGUAGGGUGCGAGCGUUGUCCGGAAUUAUUGGGCGUAAAGGGCUCGUAGGCGGUUUGUCGCGUCGGGAGUGAAAACGCCGUGCUUAACACGGCGCUUGCUUUCGAUACGGGCAGACUAGAGGUAUGCAGGGGAGAACGGAAUUCCUGGUGUAGCGGUGAAAUGCGCAGAUAUCAGGAGGAACACCGGUGGCGAAGGCGGUUCUCUGGGCAUUACCUGACGCUGAGGAGCGAAAGUGUGGGGAACGAACAGGAUUAGAUACCCUGGUAGUCCACACCGUAAACGUUGGGCGCUAGGUGUGGGGUCCAUUUCACGGAUUCCGUGCCGCAGCUAACGCAUUAAGCGCCCCGCCUGGGGAGUACGGCCGCAAGGCUAAAACUCAAAGGAAUUGACGGGGGCCCGCACAAGCGGCGGAGCAUGCGGAUUAAUUCGAUGCAACGCGAAGAACCUUACCAGG
RNAcentral lists this ribosomal RNA (476 nucleotides) under Nocardioides sp. enrichment culture. RNAcentral describes it as "bacterial SSU rRNA". It matches the Rfam family "Bacterial small subunit ribosomal RNA", at positions 505 to 978 of the family's 1533-position model. Lineage: Bacteria; Bacillati; Actinomycetota; Actinomycetes; Propionibacteriales; Nocardioidaceae. The record is from RNAcentral.